Molecule: long non-coding RNA, 277 nt
Filed under: Mytilus galloprovincialis (Mediterranean mussel)
Lineage: Eukaryota; Metazoa; Mollusca; Bivalvia; Mytilida; Mytilidae
Source: RNAcentral
AUGCAGUCAAAUGUGGCAGUUUUUAAUAUUUGUUGCUAUGUGAAAUAAAGGGAAGUAAAUUAAAGUAAAAGAAGGCGCGCUUUUUCAAAUAGUAAACAAUUUAAUUCAGAUGCAUAGUAUUUUGUCAAAUGAUAAAGAAUAUCGUAGAAACUUGCUAGAAAUUCAUCUAAUUUAUAAAAGAUAUACAACAUGACAUACUGAAAUCUGAAAAGGGGUAAAACCACCAUACCUUGAACAAAUUCAGUUAAAAAAAGGGGGGGGGGUAAAAUGCUACGAA